RNAcentral lists this ribosomal RNA (253 nucleotides) under uncultured bacterium. RNAcentral describes it as "partial 16S ribosomal RNA". It matches the Rfam family "Bacterial small subunit ribosomal RNA", at positions 524 to 776 of the family's 1533-position model. The record is from RNAcentral.
UACGGAGGGGGCUAGCGUUGUUCGGAAUUACUGGGCGUAAAGCGCACGUAGGCGGCUUUGUAAGUUAGAGGUGAAAGCCCGGGGCUCAACUCCGGAAUUGCCUUUAAGACUGCAUCGCUAGAAUUGUGGAGAGGUGAGUGGAAUUCCGAGUGUAGAGGUGAAAUUCGUAGAUAUCGGGAGGAACACCAGUGGCGAAGGCGGCGACCUGGACAGAUAUUGACGCUGAGGUGCGAAAGCGUGGGGAGCAAACAGG